GACGAACCGUCCAAACGUUAUUCGGAAUUACUGGGCUUAAAGGGUGCGUAGGCGGCCCUGUAAGUUGGGUGUGAAAUCCCUCGGCUCAACCGAGGAAUUGCGCCCAAUACUGCAGGGCUAGAGGAAGAUAGAGGUGAGCGGAACUUGUGGUGGAGCGGUGAAAUGCGUUGAUAUCACAAGGAACACCUGUGGCGAAAGCGGCUCACUGGGUCUUUUCUGACGCUGAGGCACGAAAGCUGGGGGAGCGAACGGGAUUAGAUACCCCGGUAGUCCCAGCUGUAAACGAUGAGCACUAGACCGAAGAACCCCCCAUAGUUUUUCGGUCGUAGCGAAAGUGUUAAGUGCUCCGCCUGGGGAGUAUGGUCGCAAGGCUGAA
This 376-nucleotide ribosomal RNA is filed under the name uncultured bacterium. RNAcentral describes it as "bacterial SSU rRNA". It matches the Rfam family "Bacterial small subunit ribosomal RNA", at positions 524 to 898 of the family's 1533-position model. The record is from RNAcentral.